RNAcentral lists this ribosomal RNA (207 nucleotides) under uncultured bacterium. RNAcentral describes it as "partial 16S ribosomal RNA". It matches the Rfam family "Bacterial small subunit ribosomal RNA", at positions 568 to 774 of the family's 1533-position model. The record is from RNAcentral.
CGUGUAGGCGGCGAUCCAAGUCAGGGGUGAAAUCCCGGGGCUCAACCCCGGAACUGCCCUUGAAACUAGAUUGCUAGAAUACUGGAGAGGUGAGUGGAAUUCCGAGUGUAGAGGUGAAAUUCGUAGAUAUUCGGAAGAACACCAGUGGCGAAGGCGACUCACUGGACAGUUAUUGACGCUGAGGUGCGAAAGCGUGGGGAGCAAACA